RNAcentral lists this ribosomal RNA (468 nucleotides) under uncultured bacterium. RNAcentral describes it as "partial 16S ribosomal RNA". It matches the Rfam family "Bacterial small subunit ribosomal RNA", at positions 28 to 507 of the family's 1533-position model. The record is from RNAcentral.
GACGAACGCUGGCGGCGUGCUUAACACAUGCAAGUCGAACGGAAAGGCCCUGCUUUUGUGGGGUGCUCGAGUGGCGAACGGGGGAGUAACACGUGAGUAACCUGCCCUUGACUUUGGGAUAACUUUAGGAAACUGGGGCUAAUACCGGAGAGGAGCUCCUGCUCCAUGGGGGGGGUUGGAAAGUUUCGGCGUUUGGGGAUGGACUCGCGGCUUAUCAGCCUGUUUGUGGGGUAGUGGCUUACCAAGGCUUUGACGGGUAGCCGGCCUGAGAGGGUGACCGGCCACAUUGGGCCUGAGAUACGGCCCAGACUCCUACGGGAGGCAGCAGUGGGGAAUAUUGCACAAUGGGCGGAAGCCUGAUGCAGCAACGCCGCGUGCGGGAUGACGGCCUUCGGGUUGUAAACCGCUUUCGCCUGUGACGAAGCGUGAGUGACGGUAAUGGGUAAAGAAGCACCGGCUAACUACGUG